Molecule: ribosomal RNA, 507 nt
Filed under: uncultured Glomeraceae
Lineage: Eukaryota; Fungi; Glomeromycota; Glomeromycetes; Glomerales; Glomeraceae
Description: SSU rRNA
Rfam family: Eukaryotic small subunit ribosomal RNA
Source: RNAcentral
AGCAGCCGCGGUAAUUCCAGCUCCAAUAGCGUAUAUUAAAGUUGUUGCAGUUAAAAAGCUCGUAGUUGAAUUUCGGGGUUAGCAGGUCGGUCGUGCCAUCGGUAUGAACUGGUCUCGCUGAUCUCUCCCUCUUGACGAACUGUGAUGCCAUUAAUUUGGUGUCGCAGGGAAUCAGGACUGUUACUUUGAAAAAAUUAGAGUGUUUAAAGCAGGCUCACGCUUGAAUACAUUAGCAUGGAAUAAUGAAAUAGGACGUUUGAUCCUAUUUUGUUGGUUUCUAGGAUUGACGUAAUGAUUAAUAGGGAUAGUUGGGGGCAUUAGUAUUCAAUUGUCAGAGGUGAAAUUCUUGGAUUUAUUGAAGACUAACUACUGCGAAAGCAUUUGCCAAGGAUGUUUUCAUUAAUCAAGAACGAAAGUUAGGGGAUCGAAGACGAUCAGAUACCGUCGUAGUCUUAACCAUAAACUAUGCCGACUAGGGAUCGGAUGAUGUUAAUUUUUAAUGACUCA